GACAUUUGGCGUGUAGGCUGUUGUUGGCAUCAGAUGGAUGAUUUCCAGACAACGAUUACUAGCAUCAACGACAAGCACUACAGACAAUCUACGUCGACCGCCAUCAAUCACAAUGUGAAGAAGAUAAUGUAGAUGGCUACUCUCAGUCUCGUAGACUUUGUAUGAGGAUCCAACUCAAUCAAACUCUUCUGUGCUUACCAUAUG
Molecule: long non-coding RNA, 204 nt
Filed under: Musa acuminata (dwarf banana)
Lineage: Eukaryota; Viridiplantae; Streptophyta; Magnoliopsida; Zingiberales; Musaceae
Description: long non-coding RNA (MACU_LNC000393)
Source: RNAcentral